Long non-coding RNA from Cotesia glomerata, 203 nucleotides. RefSeq lists it as uncharacterized. Lineage: Eukaryota; Metazoa; Arthropoda; Insecta; Hymenoptera; Braconidae. The record is from RefSeq and is a predicted model, not a curated record. The transcript has 3 exons.
AAUUAAAGUUUUCUCGGGUUGCAGUCAACUAGUCAGACUAACAACAUUCCGAAUUAAUAAAUUACUAGAACUUAGAAAGUAAAUACUAAAUGUAAUUUAAAAUAAUUAAUUUUACAAAUUUUAAAAUUCCGAAAAAUAUAAUCUUAAAUAAAGAAAAAACUAAAGCUAUAUUAAUAGAAUCUUUCAAAGUCACUAAGUCUCAA